UUGUGAAAAUCUUAACUUAAUACAGCUUCACAGUAAAUCUUAAUCUGUUUUUGCAAUCCUCUCCCAGGGCCCCAAGUGGGUCAGCAGGGAAGGUGGGUGAUGCUACUUCUCUGCCCUCCCAGUGCCAUGGGAUAGAAGAGCUAAUGAAGAGGGAGCAAAAAGUGGGUGAUGAUACUUCUCUGCCCUCCCAGUGCCAGGGGAUAGAAGAGCUAAUGAAGAGGGAGCAAAAGAGAAGUGGAGGACUUCUUCCCCUCGGGACACUGAAACCUUCCACCUCAGCCUUUCUCCCACGGCCAUGUAGAUGAUCCCAACUUGGAGCCAGGAACAUUCCUCUUUCCAACUCUGUGCUACAACGAUGUUCUGAUGCAGUUAAUGUUCAAACACAUUGGCUUGGAAUACCCUCACGAAAGCAAGAACCCAUGUGAGCAAAGGGGAGGACACUUCUACAGGACCACAAACAAGUAAGAGAAAUUAGCAGUGGGAGAGUAUUUUCAGGGGGCAAGGAUAAGACAAUGAUGAGACAAGCUUUCCCAGAUUGAUUC
Molecule: long non-coding RNA, 542 nt
Filed under: Ficedula albicollis (Collared flycatcher)
Lineage: Eukaryota; Metazoa; Chordata; Aves; Passeriformes; Muscicapidae
Description: lncRNA (ENSFALG00000025907.1)
Source: RNAcentral